Molecule: long non-coding RNA, 4279 nt
Filed under: Sus scrofa (pig)
Lineage: Eukaryota; Metazoa; Chordata; Mammalia; Artiodactyla; Suidae
Description: lncRNA (ENSSSCG00055023758.1)
Source: RNAcentral
GACUCUGGACAGCAAGGAGGCUGGGAAGGUGAGUUUUGCAACAAACACGGUGGAAGCCCAAGCAGAAAGAUUUCUUGUUUUUGCCUGGGUCCUUUCAUAGCUUACUGGUCUUUGUUUGCCUCUUAGUCCACGAGACUCAGCUCUAAAGCGCAGGUACUAGUUUUCUUUGGACUUCUGGUGUUUUUUUUUUUUUUUUUUUUUUUCCAGUUUCUUUUGUGAGCAGCUCUUCCUCAAGUCAUCUAUUCUGCUGUUACUGUUCAGAAUUUCAUCUUUUGGAGUUCCUGGGGUCCUGGCGGCUAAAGAUCCCGUGUUGUCCCUGCAGUGGCUCUGGUCACUGCUGUGAUUUGCAGAUGAUGGAAUACAUACCUAGGGAGAAAAUAUAUUGAGAAGCUCCCCCAAUUGGUGGGCGAGAUGGAGAAACUGAUUGAGACCAAACUUCUAAGAACAUCCAAAGCCAUAUUGCAAAUCUGGCUUAAUGGCGAAAGAACCAUCACCGAAGCUGCCCCUGAAGGCUAGAAACCAGAAAUCUCACUUAAAUGCAAACCAUGGCUGUUACCAGCCCCAAAGUUCCUUCUGAGCUGACAGCUAGACUGGGAAAACACACUGCCCUGCAAGCUGGAUGCCUUCGUUGUUUCUUGUACCAGCAACUCUGCAAGCGAGCUCCAAGCAGAGUCUGUCAUCACACUGACCAUUUCCCAACAGGAGCCUCAAAGUGAUGAAGGCUGGUCGUGUGCUGGUGGCAUUGUGACAGGGGAGUCCAGAAAUGAUUUGAGUUCUGACUUCCCCUGUGGAGAUAGGAACCCAUUAGGUCAUAUUUUCCCCCAGGUGCCAAAGCUGUUAAAAAGGUGAUGGUCAGCCACACCAAAAUGACCCACUUCUUAGUAUAGGAAUCCAUCUGGUGCCCUCCAUCAUCACCACUGAUGUCUCAGGCCCACCUCAUGAUCUCACCCAUCGCACCCUGGUCACCCUUCACUCUGGCUGUCGGAGCAUCUUUAUCUGAAGCAUAGUUCUGACACUGUCUAUGGUACCUCAUUUUCCUAGCACUUCAGCUACCCAGUGUGGUCCCUGACGAUCUGUCCUUUGUAUAGUGUUUCAGCCUCCUUCUCUGAAAGCCAUAACAGCUCCUGGAUGAGAGUUUAGAGGGUGGCAUGGGGACGCCUCUUGUGAAUCCAGUAUAGAGUCCCAGAGGACACACACAGGGCAUACCUGUGGCAGAUGUGGGGGCAGUUUAAAUGAGCGUUUUCAAAUAUAUCCUCCAUUGGGCCUGAAAUCUUACCACUAAGGUCUACACCUCUGGGUUUAGCAGCUCUGGGUACUGCCCUCAUAAACGGUAAUCCAUUGAGAAGAUCCCCUCAUGAAGGUCCGAAGACUUUGAAGAAAGGAGUCUUUCAGUUUCUUCUCCCUCUCAUCCAUUUCUUAAUCCCUAAGCUGGGACCCAGCACUCAAUCCCCACUCCCUCUACCCAGCCUGCUGCAAUUGCAACCAACAAAAGCCAGAAGGCAGUGAGGCAUGCGCGAAGGGGUGGGGAGAGGGAUUAGGGGCAGAGCUCGUCACCGGUGAGCAUGGGCCAUCCGUCUCAGGUAGAAGCGGAUGAAUAAUUGGUUCAGGACCAAAGUAAUGAUUACAGGGUGUGAUGUCACCCUCCACAAUGGCAGUCAGAAAAGAAGGGAAAUUUCCCAAGAUAAACUCUCCUGGUGUUAACAAGGGGGAGAAUCUGAGGUCAGAGGGAGCCAUGUGCAGGCUUUCUGCUCUGUCAGGAGUGACCUGUCCCAUAGUGACUGGGGCUGGGACAGCCACACUGGUCAAUGCAGGCUCUCCAGGCCAUCUCAUCUGGCCCUGCCCAGCCUUGCCACCUCUACCUAAUUCUUGAACCUUGCUGACCAGCACGGGAAGUGUAUUUGGAACCUCAGCCCCACCCCAGGUGGGGUUUGUUUAGAGUUUUUCUUGUUACCUGGGGACCCAGACCUGCUAUGGGUGCUCCCAUGAUACUCAUGUCCCCCUGCUUUAACCUAGGUGUGUGCCUUUUCUUCAGCUCAGCUUCUGAGUGUCUGCUGACCAAGGUCUGUAAUGAGACUUGUCCCAUCCGACUAGGGUCCCAGCACUCUUGUACUGCCCUUCAAAUUAGAGGUAUCCCACACGAUCACAUACAUGCCCGUGACCUUGACAUUCCCAGGGAUGGACUGUAAUUAUCAUUCUGGAAAUUGUGACACCAGAACAAUAUCAGUUACAACCAUUUAUUGAGUGAGAAUUACUUCUGUGUACAAAGCAGGCUUCCUCUGUGGUUUGGAUGCAGCACACACUCACUGGUAGAAACUACUCAAGGUCUAAUCCUGGGUUAUUUAUUAACAAUGAAACUUUGGCCAUGUUUUUCCACAUCCUUCCAUGAGCCUCUGUUUUCUACUCUAUGAAACAAGAGUAAUGUUAGUGAAUACACAUCAGAUGGCUGUUGAGAGGAUAAAAUGAGAUGAUACACAGAAAGGAGUUAGCGUGGUUUUUAGGACACAGUGAGUCAUAAUAGUAAAACCAACCAUCCUUUGCUUGCUUACAAAAAUAAUGUUACAAAUAAUUUAGGUAUAACUAUCAUAUUAUUAAAUGUCCUCAUUUUAAAUGUCCAGUCCAGCGAAUUUGACAAAUCAGUAUACCCACUGACUAGCACACAGAACUCAAAAAUUUUCCUUGGGUCUCCUCCCAGUCGCCUUGGUCUCCCACCUCUGGCUCCAGAUAACAACUGAUCAGCUUUCUGUCACUUUAGAUUGAAUUCAUCUUUUCUGGAAUUUAUAAAUUAAGCCAUAGAAUAAGAAACUGCCAGACUUUUCCAAAGUGACUGUACCAUUUUGCAUUCUCACCAGCAGUGUGUGAGAGUUCCAUUUGCUCCACUUCCUUGUCAACACUUGGUAUUGUCAGUCUUUUGAACUUUAGAGUUCUGUUUAGUGUGCUAAGUUAUCUCAUAUGCUUUUAACUUGUAUUCCCUGAUAGCUAAUAAUAUUUUCAAGUGCAUAUUGGUUUUUUUGUAUAUCUUCUCAUGAAAUGUGUUACCCAUUUAAAAAACUGGGGCUAUUUCCUUAUUAUUAUUCAAGUUCUUCAAAUAUCUGUAUACAAAUCCUAUUUCAGAUAUUUGCAUUAUGAAUAUUUUUCCAGUAUGGAGUUUUUUUGAUUACCUUAAUAUUUUACAUUUUGAUUAAAUUCAAUUUAUCUUUUUUAAAAUGGGUCGCAUUUUAGGCCCUUGGUAAGAAUUAUUUGCCUACCCAAUGUUGCAAAGAUUUUUCUUUUGUUUCUUAUAGAACUUUUAUAGUUUAAUUUUUAUAGUUAGGUCUGUGAUCAAUAUUUUAAAACUUUUUUCUUUUUAUUUAUCUAAUUUUUAAAUUAAAAAUUUUAGUGUAAUUUUUAAAGGUUACAUUCCAUUAUAGUGGUUAUAAAAUGUUAGCUGUUUUCCAUGAAGAAAUGCUCAACAUUGCUGAUUAUAAGAGAAAUGCAAAUCAAAACUACCAUGAGAUACCACCUCACACCAGUCAGAAUGGCCAUCAUUAAUAAAUAAGUCCACAAAUAACAAGUGCUGGAGGGGUUGUGGAGAAAAGGGAACCCUCCUGCACUGUUGGUGGGAAUGUAAACUGGUACAGCCACUAUGGAGAACAGUUUGGAGAUACCUUAGAAAUCUAUACAUAGAACUUCCAUAUGACCCCGCAAUCCCACUCUUGGGCAUAUAUCCGGACAAAACUCUCCUUAAAAGAGACACGUGCACCCGCAUGUUCAUUGCAGCAUUAUUCACAAUAGCCAGGACAUGGAAACAGCCCAAAUGUCCAUCGACAGAUGAUUGGAUUCAGAAGAUGUGGUAUAUAUACACAAUGGAAUACUACUCAGCCAUAAAAAGAAUGACAUCAUGCCAUUUGCAGCAACAUGGAUGGAACUAGAGACUCUCAUACUGAGUGAAAUGAGCCAGAAAGACAAAGAUAAAUACCAUAUGAUAUCACAUAACUGGAAUCUAAUAUCCAACACAAAUGAAUAUCUCCACAGAAAAGAAUAUCAUGGACUUGGAAAAUAGAUUUGUGGCUGCCUGAUGGGAGGGGGAGGGAGUGGGAGGGAUCGGGAGUUUGGGCUUAUCAGACACAACUUAGAAUAGAUUUACAAGGAGAUCCUGCUGAGUAGCAUUGAGAACUAUGUCUAGAUACUCAUAUUGCAGCAGAAUAAAGGGUGGGGGAAAAAUGUAUACAUGUAAGGAUAACUUGAUCCCCUUCCUGUACAGUGGGAAAAAAAAUAAAUUAAUAAAAAGCUUAAAAAAAUG